GGCCUUGAUGCAUCAAUGGAUAUUUUUGCAUUCGCAAUGCAGAGGUCGGGAGUUCGAUCCUCCUUCGGUCCACCA
Molecule: transfer RNA, 75 nt
Filed under: Cupriavidus sp. GA3-3
Lineage: Bacteria; Pseudomonadati; Pseudomonadota; Betaproteobacteria; Burkholderiales; Burkholderiaceae
Description: tRNA-Ala
Source: RNAcentral